AAUGCCAAAGUUAGAGCUGCCAAUAGACACAAGAGACCUGAGGUGCCAGAGAUGGCAGACCUUGCCACCACAAACUGAGGGCUACCAGUUUCUGCCAUCACAAAAUAGCCUCUCACCAAUACUCGAAGCUCAUCAAGAGUAAAUUUCCCCCACUCUAUUUGUCUGUUGGAAACACUUUUAUGCAACACAUUGUACUUCAAUUCUAUGUAUCUUUUCGCGCUUGGAACCAUCAACGACAGACAACAUAGCGUCGCGAGCAAGGGUAGCAUGAUCACAGCAGAUGAAACUUGUUCGGCCAAAAUAUAUCCAAAAUCAUUGAAGGAACGCAUCUGAACUAUAUGAAUGAACACAUUUACUGCAACAGUAACGACUAAAAUGCCCAAAGCUGCAAUGUUCAACACAAUUUCAUUAUUCUCCAUGGAUCCCAAAGAUGUCAUGAAAUUACUCAUGCUAGUAGACAUCAAAACGAGGCUGCAAAUCCUCGCGAGUUUAUCAUCGACGUCGAGGUCGGUGCUUGUUAGAUCUACGGGCAAUUUCAUGGAGACGGCUAAGAGUGUCAAGGAGAAAGCGUUGAGAGAGAAGUACUUACACGGUAGCCAGUAUUUUUGGGUUCUGAAGGCGUUGAUAGCAUCCGCCGCCAUCGCGAGCGUGCAGGCGGCGGAGGCUGCUGCGAUGUACAUGCCUAUCCAUGGCAUGGUUGAAUCGAGCUUCGUUUUUACCAAAUUCUGAUAUUGAAUAUCAGGCGUUUGGAAGCAAUCAGAUGGAGAAGUCAUGACCUAGAAAGCUUAACUAUAUCGAUAUAUAUUUUCUGUUUCUUUGUUGUUUGAAGGUAUGAUUUUGGGGUACGGUGGGAUUGAUUUUAGGAGUUGUUCAUGUACUACUUACUUCCCAAUGCUGCAGCUGAGAGAGAGAGAGAGAUGCGUGCUGCUUCGAACUUCCUCAUCACCACUCGUCAUUCAUUCAACGAUUAAAAUCAUUACAUAACCAGAUUCGACUGUAAAGCCAGAAGAAUUUUUUAGCAACAGCAUUUGGUUGAAAAUUCAGUGGUUAGUUCAAUAAAAGAAAAAUAUGGUUUUGAGCCUUCAGUAUUAGUUCAAUAAAAGAAAAAAAAAAAGAACAGAAACGAAAAAGGUAAGUUGGAUAUAGACAGUAGUCAAAACACGGAAUACAGAUAAUCAAAAUUAAGCUGGAAAUUUUACACUGAAAGUCUGAAAAUAAAAGAAUUAAAUUGAUCCAAAUCAAAAUUAGUUCAAAAUUGAGUGGAUCAGUUGCGGAGCAAGAAUUUCCACUCAGGAGUGUUUUUCAAUAAAAAUAAUAAUUUUCCCUAAAAAAAAAUCAUCAAAUAAUAAAAAUUAAAAAUAAAUAAUAAUCAUUAACAUAAUUAUAAUACCAUUUAAAUUAUAAAAAGUACCUUUUUAAACUGAUUUUCAAGUUCAUAUUAAGUAAUUUCAAAAAAUUAAGACAAAUAAAACUUUGCAAGGUGAAUUACAGCAUCCGCAUUGGGCUUACUUGAUAGACUACUUGAUAACUUACUUGAUAGUACGAGACCACAUUGAGUAGAGGAGGUCAUAUUGGGGUUAUUUGAUAAGCUACUUGAUUUUUUUAGUUUUGAUUUUUAUGUUUUUCAUUUAAAUUUAAUUGCUUAAAUUUAAAUAAUACAAUUUAAUUCAAAUUUAAAUUGCAUUAAUUUAAAAUCCUACAACAUACCAAAAAAAAACCUAAAGACAUAAUAUAAAAAUACUUAAUUAAAACCUAAAAAACAUAACUAAAAACUAUAUAAAUUAAAAUCAUACUCUAAAUAAGUCCACGACGCUUGAGCACUUCUUGGACCAUGUAGUUGUGCAAUAUUCNNNNNNNNNNNNNNNNNNNNNNNNNNNNNNNNNNNNNNNNNNNNNNNNNNNNNNNNNNNNNNNNNNNNNNNNNNNNNNNNNNNNNNNNNNNNNNNNNNNNNNNNNNNNNNNNNNNNNNNNNNNNNNNNNNNNNNNNNNNNNNNNNNNNNNNNNNNNNNNNNNNNNNNNNNNNNNNNNNNNNNNNNNNNNNNNNNNNNNNNNNNNNNNNNNNNNNNNNNNNNNNNNNNNNNNNNNNNNNNNNNNNNNNNNNNNNNNNNNNNNNNNNNNNNNNNNNNNNNNNNNNNNNNNNNNNNNNNNNNNNNNNNNNNNNNNNNNNNNNNNNNNNNNNNNNNNNNNNNNNNNNNNNNNNNNNNNNNNNNNNNNNNNNNNNNNNNNNNNNNNNNNNNNNNNNNNNNNNNNNNNNNNNNNNNNNNNNNNNNNNNNNNNNNNNNNNNNNNNNNNNNNNNNNNNNNNNNNNNNNNNNNNNNNNNNNNNNNNNNNNNNNNNNNNNNNNNNNNNNNNNNNNNNNNNNNNNNNNNNNNNNNNNNNNNNNNNNNNNNNNNNNNNNNNNNNNNNNNNNNNNNNNNNNNNNNNNNNNNNNNNNNNNNNNNNNNNNNNNNNNNNNNNNNNNNNNNNNNNNNNNNNNNNNNNNNNNNNNNNNNNNNNNNNNNNNNNNNNNNNNNNNNNNNNNNNNNNNNNNNNNNNNNNNNNNNNNNNNNNNNNNNNNNNNNNNNNNNNNNNNNNNNNNNNNNNNNNNNNNNNNNNNNNNNNNNNNNNNNNNNNNNNNNNNNNNNNNNNNNNNNNNNNNNNNNNNNNNNNNNNNNNNNNNNNNNNNNNNNNNNNNNNNNNNNNNNNNNNNNNNNNNNNNNNNNNNNNNNNNNNNNNNNNNNNNNNNNNNNNNNNNNNNNNNNNNNNNNNNNNNNNNNNNNNNNNNNNNNNNNNNNNNNNNNNNNNNNNNNNNNNNNNNNNNNNNNNNNNNNNNNNNNNNNNNNNNNNNNNNNNNNNNNNNNNNNNNNNNNNNNNNNNNNNNNNNNNNNNNNNNNNNNNNNNNNNNNNNNNNNNNNNNNNNNNNNNNNNNNNNNNNNNNNNNNNNNNNNNNNNNNNNNNNNNNNNNNNNNNNNNNNNNNNNNNNNNNNNNNNNNNNNNNNNNNNNNNNNNNNNNNNNNNNNNNNNNNNNNNNNNNNNNNNNNNNNNNNNNNNNNNNNNNNNNNNNNNNNNNNNNNNNNNNNNNNNNNNNNNNNNNNNNNNNNNNNNNNNNNNNNNNNNNNNNNNNNNNNNNNNNNNNNNNNNNNNNNNNNNNNNNNNCAGAUCGGAAUGGUGUUCCAGAUCAGAUCACAAUCAGAAACCGAUUCAGGAUGAAACCACAACAGAACAUCGUUAAAUCGACCAAACAUAAAUGAGAUCCCGAGGCGGAUGCAUCUCACCAUCUAUCAACCCCCAAAAACUUAACGAAUCUCGAUCACCACACAAACAAAAUCGAAAAUGCAGCACAAAUUAGAUCUAAAUCCAGCAAUAAUCAGCUCGAUCUGAACGAAAAACUCAUUUCUUCCAAAUCGAUUCAUCAAAAUCGCAGAUGCGACACAUCAAAGGCAAAAACCGAACCAAAUCACAAAAUUCAACCGAAAUCAGAGCAUCGCGAACAAAAUUAGAUUCAAUUGAAGGUGGGACCCACUACAAAAUAAAUGAAAAAAAAAUCAAGGAAACGGUGUUAGAAGUCCGUUUUCUUCGUGGGUUUAUUUGCAUAUUUUUUAUGUACUAUAGAGGAGGUAUUUGUACCAAAGUCGAGUGUGGGGGGCUAAACGCUCUAGGGGGGGUCUACUUUAGGGACUAAUUUGCACCUUUACCCUUUAAGAAAUUGUAGAUUAAUGUUUUAAAUGUGUAGUAUAAAAGUGAUAAUGUAUGAGAGAGAAGACAAUAAAGUGAUAAAGUAGGAGAGAGAAGACAAUAAGAGAGUGAUUAAUUAGUUGUAAUUAUGCAAUUAAAAUCCUUUAUUUUUUCCAUAUUUAGAAAUGUAGCAUCUUCAUUGGGACGAUCCCCAAAAAAAUAUGUAGCAUUUUUGUUGGGACGAAGGGGGUAUAAUAUAUUUAUAAAAUUACAAAAAUUUCAUAAAUUAUAUAGUUCAAUAUAUUAUAAAUUAGUUUCGAGACGUUCCACUAUAAAUUAUAACCACAAUUAAUGAGAACAUGUAUUGUACGUAACUGAAAUCCAAAUGCACUAAAAAAANAAUAGAUAAGCAACAGUUAAAUACUAGCUAGUACCCGAGUAUUGUUGCAUUGUCAGUUGAUGGUGCUCAAGGAUUUUCAAUAUCCAGCGCCAUCACCAUGGAUGCCCUCCUCCACUCAUCAAUAUUAGCAGCUCUCUCCAUAUCCAAACUCGGUAGCUCACGCUCCUGCAGAAUUUCAAGUAUCUCUUUACUCUCGCCAAGAAGAAUCGCUGCUCGCCUCACGCUUUCUUGCCUUUCUUUGACGUCGUUUUUGUGACACUUGAACUGAAUGACUCGCACUAGAUUGGUGAGGCACGCUGCUACUAUUUCUGAGAUGCUCAUGGAUAUUCUCUCAAAUACCUCCUCCUCCUCCUCAUCUUCCAUUCCUACCAACAUCGUCUCAGCAAUCCUAUACAUUGAGUUUGCAGCUAUGACUCUAACUGGCCAGUUUAGAGGGUUCUGCAUCACAGCAUCUCUCGUUUGAGCCAUGAAAUCUGUCACAAUCUUUCCUGCAAUGUCUGAGAGCUUUAGCAGUGUUUCCUUGUUGGUUGCGCCUCUCACGCUCGCGCUCUUCAGAUCUUUAUUAUCCCAUUUUCCGUAUACUUCAACUCCGACCCAAACCACGUCUGCUGCUUUUCUGAUGCUUUCCAACUCCCCGUUUCUGUCUAGAGUUUUCUCGAUGAGCUUCACAAUGGACAAGCCCUCACUAACACUAGCCAAUAACUGGCUAGCCUCGUCAUCUGCAACAUUCGCAAGUGCAACUGAAAUGGUUGUCAAAGUCACCAGGGGCAGAGACCAGCAAUUAGGAGGUUCUUGAGAAUGCAAGCUUGGAACUUGGCUGCUGUCAAACUGUCCCACCCCAUUGAAGUUGGCAGAUUUUUUCAGAAGUCGGAUCAGAUUCUUGGGCUGCUUCUUUUCACCUAUCUGGAUAAGCCUAUCCGCCUCGUUGCAGAUGUUGUUGAGGAUUUUAUCAGGCAACUGUGGCUCACCUUCAAGUAGAAGAACAUAGUUGCUAAAAUCCAUUUCUGCUCCCACUGAAUCAGGCCUCUUUAAAUUCUUGCAGAAACACAAGAAAACUGCACUCCCAAAUCUAGCAGAGAGGAAUAGAACUAGUUUGGCAGAUGAAACAAAGAGAAUCUGAGCUCCAAUGCAGAAAUUCAGAACGAACUUUACUGCAUCACAAAGUAGCUUCUUGCACACCGGUUUUGAAUUUGAAACGGAGGUGAUGUAUCCCUCCACUCUAGCAGCCUCCAAGUCCAGUACUUGUCAACCUUGAGUUCCUCUUCGAAGCUCUUUCGUUCCAUCUCUGAAAUCUUCAACCAUGAAGCAACGAACCAUCUUGAGAGAGGAGCAAUACUUCCAACCAUCACUCCCAAACUCUGAACUUUGCCAAUACCGAGACAGACCAGUUAUAUUCUGAAACAUGUAUACAAUAGGCCAAACUGGACCUGUUGGGAGGAGCUAUUGUCAGAGUUACAGCUACUGCAAAUGUUACAACUGCCAAAAGAUACAAGAGACCCGAAGCAGAAGAAAUGGCAGACCUUGCCACCACAAACUGGGGGCUGCCUGUUUCUGCCAUCACCCAAUACCCUUUCACCAAUACUCCAACCUCAUCAAUACUAGUUCUUCCCCACUCUAAUUCUCUAUUUGAAACAGAUUUAUGCAUCUCAUUAUACUUGAGUUGCAUGUAUCUUUUGGCGCCCGGAACCAUGAGGCCAAAGAGCACAACGUGGCGAGCACGAGGAGCAUGAUCAUAGCGGAUGCAACUUGUUCAAGCAACAUAUCUCGCACAUUAGGGAAGGAACGCAUCUCAAGUGUAUGAAUAGCACACGUUCCCCGCGAUAGUGAUGACGAGAAUGCCUAAAGCGCUAUGUUGAGCAGAAUUUCAUUAUUCUCCAUGGAGCCCAAAGAUGUCAUGAAAUGACUAAUACCGGCACACAUCAAAACGAGGCUACUAAGUCCUGGGAGUUUAUCUUUGUACGUUGAGGUCGAUGCUAGUUAGAUCUACGGGCAGCUUCAUGGUCACGGCUAAUAGAGUCAAGGAGAAUGCGUUGAGAGAGAAAUACUUACAUGGAAGCCAAUAGUUUUUGCUUCGGAAACCAAUGAUAGCAUCAGCCAUCAUUGAAAACGUACAGGCGGCAGAGGCUGCUGCAAUAUACACGCCUAUCCACGGCGUAGUUGAAUCAAGUUUCGCUUGCACCAUGCUCCGAUAUUCAUCGUAUGAUUGGGAGCAGUUACGUGAAAGCAUGAGCUCCGAAGCUAACUCUGUCGAUUCGAUUUAAUUCUGCUUCUCUUUGUUUGAGUUUAGGAGUUAUUCGCUCUUGCAUAUAGUAUUAAUUUUAAUGAAACUGAGUUAGUUAAUGUUAAUGAUUGAUGUUGAUGGAGAAUCGAGUCUUGGCCGCGUUGACGGACUUAUCCACACGAGUCGUCGUCUACGGCUCCGAUAUUUCUUCCAUUUUUGUCCUUUUACAAAGUGAUGAUCAAUCGACAUUGAUAUGGCUCGACUCUUGUAUUCCAAGUCUUUGAAACGAAAAUAUCUUAAUAGCGACACGAACGUACCUUGAGAGGCUUCCAGUUUUUUUCCAAGAACAUCACUCUCUCUAUAUAACAGCAAUGAAGAACAAUGCACUUCGAAUCUAUCUAUACAUAACAGCGAAACAGAAUGAGUGGCGAAUUCAGGAAUUUUCGACAGGGAGCUGGAUUAAUUUGUUAAGUAGAGCCUCAAGAUACUUGCAUGAGAUUCAGGGCGAUAUCCCCCCAACUCAAUUAUUUUUUGGGUAGUUCAUACAGUUCGUUUUUGGAAUCUUAAUGGGCUCAAGAUUUGGCUCUAUCACUUGCUAUAUACUCCAUAUAGCUAUUUUAUUUUAUUUUCAUUGAUUCAACAAUAAGUACGUUAAAAGCACAUAAUUGUGUUUCUUUUGAAAAAUCGUUCCAUCUUUUAUAGUUGUCAAUCUUAUUUGAUCAACUAAAAAUUGACUUAAACUCAAUAUUGAAAAUUAACUAAUAGAGAAAAAAAUGGCAAAAAUAACACAAAUUUAAUAAUUAAUAUAACAAAUCACUGCUAAGUAAUUAGCGUGAAUAUUAUGAUUAGUCAAACAAAUAUAUUAUGUUCUCUUUUUCAUCUUAUUUCUUUUAUAUACACUAGCAGAGUUUACGUGCAUUGCACGUAUUAUCUCUUAUUUAACAUUAUAUGAAUAGCCGGAUUGUUUUUAAAUAUUAUGUUUUGGAGACCCUUGCUAUCUUAUAGCUCCACCAAAUUAUAGGAAUGUGUGUGACAUUAGUUAGAAAUAAGUCAAUUCGUAAAAAUUUGCAUAACAGUGGUUGGAAAAAAGAUAUUUAUGGAUAAUUCUGAUAUUGUAAUGGGGGCAUUAAAUAUUGAGGGUUGACUUAAUAGAUAAAAGUAUAUACCAUAGGCUAAUUCAUUCUUUAUUAAGAUAUAUUGAAACCUUGGGAUAUUUCAAGUCCCUUAAUAAUAUUUUAAAGUUUAUAAUUAAAGCUAAUUUACUUGAUUCUUAUCCAAUUGAAAAUGGGGUUGGAGAAAUUCUAAUAAUGAGGAUAAAAAUUCUCAAUUAUCAAAAGUAAACGCCUCUUAAAUUAUAUAUUAUGCUUAUUGUUUACAUAAUUUUUAAGGUAGACUAAUAUUGGUUCAUUGUAUUGUGACUUCAUUAGACAUAUUCAAGAUAACUAUGACAAAAAAUCCACAUUUUACAUGUAGUUAAUUAGAUUUUGCUUGGUUUUAUGAUACGUGGUUAUAUAUCAUAUAGAAAGAGAGUUCACUAUAUGUUAUUCGUAGUCCAAAUUAAAGAGGGUUCUUGAGGAAAAGCAGUAAUUCAAUAAAAUAAACAAGCAACCAUGGCAUCAAUUAUCUAGGUAGUAAUCUAAAUCAUAAGCGGGAAUUAAUCUAAAAAGAGUAUACGGAAGAAAUAAGAAAUACUGCAAUGAAAUCAUAAAUCAUGAGUUUUAUCUAAAGCAAUAAAAAGUGACUUACAGUAAAUUGUGAUAACUCAAUAAGAAUCUCGGACUACUGAAUUACUCUAGACGUAAGGAUGAAAUAUCAAAGCAAAUUAACCCCAAACUAAAGAGAUUGGUGUCUGAAACUAUGACUAUAAUUGCAUCUAUAGAAGUGUGCAAGUGUGCCCUAGAAUAAGAAAAUUCUGACUAUUUAAAUCUUAAAAUGCGCAAUCGUGGAGAUCUCAACCGGGGCGGAGUGAAAUCACGGCUUUUUGACUUAAUUUUGGAGAAGUGAGCGAGUUGACCGAUCGCGGGCAAAGCCAGCGGCCGCGGGGCUAUGCGUGGGCAAGCGGCCGGCGCGCGUGUUGUGCGCGGGCGUGGGGCGGACGUGCGCGGCGUGCGGUCGCGAAAGAUUGAGCAGGCGCGGGGGUGUACAAUGGGAGAAAUGCGUGCCGACUAGGUUGUGAGCGGCCGCGGGGCACUCCGGGGCACGCGGCCGUAGAAGAUUGAGUGGGUGCUGGGGUGUAAAAUGGGAGAAAAGCGCGACGAUUGGGUAGUGAGUGGCCGCGGGUCGCGCUCUCGCGGAUUGCACUGCGCGAUAUUUUUGUUUUGGUCCAUCUCUCUCGUUAUAAGUCUGAUUUUAGAUCCGUUUUUGCCCACGAACUCGUAUCAAGACGAGCUAGAAUUCUUCUUCAGACCAAUCAACUGAAUUUGAACUCUAUAUUUGUCCACUUAUUAAUAAAUUAGAACAUCAAAUUCUGAUAUAACAAAAUUAGCACAUAAGCUCAAAUCAAUCAACUAUUGAGUGAACGAGACCAAAAUAUAAACCCCAUAGCACACCUAAAAACCCAUAAAAUUAUUACAAAAUAGGACUAAACAAUAACUGAAUUAGUGUUAAUAUUAAUUUUAUAUAAAUAUAAAAAUUUAAAAAUAUUUUCCCUUGCAUUGCACAGGGUGCAAAUGUAAAAUAUAAUUUAUAUUGCUUAUAUCUUGUGUGUAUAUAAUGUAAAUAUAUAUUGGUAUAUAUAUACAUUUGAAUUGUUUAUGUAAAUAUAUUUGUAGUAAAUCUAUAUUUAGUGUGAAGUUUUAAUUUACUAUAGUUUUAACUCUUUUUCAGGUUUCUAAUUUUGAAAAAGUUUUCAAGAUUGGAACAGUACUGAUAAAAUAAGAAAGAGUUGAGAUAGGUUUCAUAAUUAAUUCUUUAAAAAAAUAAAUAAAUAUUUAAAUUUGAUCAUUUCGUUCUAAAAUUAUUUAUUGAGAAAAUUAUCAUUUAUUGUAACAACUUAUAAUUAUAAAUUUAAACACGUUUGAGUGAUUAAUGAGUAUUAAUUAUUACUACGAGUUGGCUAAGCGAUAAUGGGUUAAUGCCUAAGGUCAAAGGUCUUGGGUUCAAGUCUCCUGUGGUGCGGCCAUUUAAUUUCUUUAUCUAAUAUUGUAAAUUAAAAAAAAUAUAUCUCUUCUGCUUUCUCAGUUGAACGACAUGCUUUUGUGGAUUUUUCUCUAUUUUUAAUCUUUUGUCAAUUGUAUACAUUAUUUUAAUGUUUACUCUAUAUUGUUUGAGUCUUUAUUGAGACAUAUAAUUAAUUAAUUAAAAAACUAUAUUAAAGACUAUUAUUUUUGUACAUUUAUUCUUAAAAUGGUCUUUUUCAAUUUAUAAACAUUAAGGUGGAAUUAAAUAGUUUCUCAAUUUAAUUUUAAAUGAAUACCAAUUUAAUUAGAUCAAAUAAAUAGUCAUGUUCAAAAUUUUUAUUAAGAUGGAUAAUCAAUUAUUGAUUAUUUAAAUAUUCUAUAAAUUUAAAUCAAUUUGAGUAAUUAACGUGUACUACAUUUGAUUGAACCAUAUAAUGAAAUAUGAUUUUGUUUUUUUUUACCUUCAGCUCAUUUUUUAUUGUCAAAUCAAUCACCAUAUAGUGAUUUUCUUUAUACACUAAUAAAAUUUAUGUGCUUUCUAGGGUUUAGGUGCUUGCUUUCUUUCUUCUUUUAAUAAAAUUUCUAUUUCAGCAGUUAUACAUUAAUAAUAAUUAAAUCAUUAAAUUUAAAGACUGUGCUACGGUGAACUCGAACUCAAGACCUUUGGCCUUAGACGUUAUCAACUUUACUACUAGGCCAACACACGCACAUACUAGUGAUUUUUUUCAUAAAAUAAUUAUUUAAAUUUGGGGGAUAUAUAUUUUACACAAGUCUACGUUAAAUUUUAUGGAUGUAUUUAUUAGAAAUUUAAAUCGACAUUAUAAGGGUAGGAAAGUACAUUCAUCUAAAAUAAUAAUAAGAAACAAUUAUAAAUUUACUAUUUUACCCUAUAACUUAUAGCCCCAAGGCCCCCAAAUUAAAUAUCUUAUAGCUCAUAACUCCUAAUUAAUAUAACUUUUAUUCUUCAUUUUGCAUCCAUACAACUUCAAUCAUGCACUGCAUUUCUUCUAAGAGCAUCCACAAUGGGAUGACUUGAUAGCUUACUUGAUAGAAGGGGGGAUCACAAUGAAUAAAGAGGCCACAGUGGGAUAACUUGAUACAUUACUUGAUUUUUUUAAUUUUGAUUUUUUGUAUUUUUCAUUUAAAUUUAAUUGCACAAAUUUAAAUAACACAAUUUACUUCAAAUUUAAAUUUAAUUAAUUUUAAAAUCCUAAAAAUUACAUAAAUCUUAAAAAUGUAAAAACAUAUCCUAAAAUAACUAUUCUGGCGCUAGAGGUCCGAAAUGUGCUCGAUCAAAUCAUUUUGGAGCUGAGCAUGUAUCUGUCUAUCUCGGAGAAGUGCAUCUCUUUGCACAUAUAGCUUGAAACAAACCGGGGUUGCUCAAGCACUCUCCGUCGAGUCACUGCUAGACGCCUUGUGUCCCGCGUCGUCAUCUCUCCAAUGGGUAGCUCUUUCACCUUCGUUCUCCACAAUCAUGUUGUGGAGAAUGAUGCAACACAUCAUGAUGUCCUUGAGAUGCUCGACGUACCAACCCCGCGUCGGACUUCAAAUGAUUCCCCAGCGAGCUUGAAAGCACUCCAAAGGAACGUUCGACAUCAUUCCGUGCCGAUUCUUGCAUCUUCUUGAACCUCGCCUCCUUUGGAUUGGUCGCCAUCGGUGGACUCUUGACGAAGCAACGCCACUCCGUAUAUAUGUCGUCGCACAAGUAGUAGCCCAUCUGGUAGUAGUGUCGGUUGGCCUCAAAGAUCACCGGCGCCGCCAUUCCAUCCAACGCGUCGGAGAAUAGAGGUGACUGGUUUAGAACGUUGAUGUCGUUGUUAGAGCCGGCGAUACCGAAGAAGGUAUGCCAAAUUCACAAAUCGUGGGAUGCAAUGGCCUCCUAGAUCAUUGAUCACCGCGUGUAUAUGCGUCAUGCUACGCCUUUGGGCAAUUCUUCCACGCCCAAUGCAUACAAUAAAGACUCCCGAGCGUCCCGAAAAAUCCAUGUCGCGCCUCGUGCAUCUGAAGAAGGCAUUGGACGAUAAAGAUAAUUGGCUCCGUAAGCCCGGAUGACAACCUUGCAGAAUCUCUUGAGGCAUAGACGUCCCGUUGUGUCGGUGACCUUGAGAUACUCGUCGAAAGUAUCCGCACUGACGCUGGUGGCUAAUUGGCGGAUAGCCACCGUACAUUUCUGCAAAGGCGUGAGAGAGUCCCGACCUCAUGCAUCAUGGCUCAUUUGGAAGUAACUAUCUUCACCUUGCAUAGCAUCGACGAUGUGCAAGAACAACUCCUUCUGCAUCCGAAAACGACGUCGGAAAAAUGUAGGCCCGUACGUCGAAUUGUCGUUGAAGUGGUAUUGAAUAAGAAGUAAAUGGGCAGCUUCACGAUCACGAUAGACGUAAGACCGAUGUUGAACAACACGUUCCGGCUUCGAUUGGGAGUAAUUUGAGCAAUCAAUUAUUUCUGCAACUGAAUCUCAUCGAUGAUCUCUUGCGCUACCCCGUCGAAUUCAGACGACAAAGUAUCAUCAAACCAUUCGGCCAUUUUUAGAGGAAAAUAAUAUGAAAAUGUAGUAGAGAAAGAUAGGAAGAUUGAAGGAGAAAUUUUUUUGUGUGUGUGAAUGAAGAAAUGAGGGAGAGGUAUUUAUAGAAAGGGAAAAAAAAUGUUGAAGAAACGGCUAGAAAGCUGUUGGAACAAAAAAAAAGAAAAAUUCGGCUAUACAACCGUUAGAUUCAAAUUUAAUGAAUAAAUUUUUUUUAAUACGCGCGUGUGAACACGCGGCUUGAAUAAAGAAGAUCAGGCCUUACCCGAUAAAUCGGGUAAGCCUCGAGUCCAUGGUUGCUGCAGUGGGGAACACGAUCGGUGGGUGACUCGAGUGUGUGCGAUCGAAUCACCCACUGUGGGUGCUCUAAUGCAUCUCAAGAAAGUUCAAAGAAGUUUAACGAAAUCCCUGCUAAAAUUCUCUCAUACACCACCUAAUUACACAAUUCUCACCUAAUUAAAACCCACAAAGAGCUACACAUUGUAUUUUUCCCAAAUCCUUUACUCAAGUACAUAUCCCGCACACACAAAAAAAACCCCAAUCUUUAAAGUGCAAAGAUAAAAUUUAUCUUCGCUAAACAAAAAAGAUUAAAUUUAUCCAUGUUCCAGAACGCAGUAACCGGUUGUAAAAAUGCCAAAGUAAAGCUUAAGGCAUAUGUUGAAAUCACGCAACAAGCAAAAGUGAUUGCAAGCUAGUAUCCGAAUUUGGGAAUUCUUGUAAUAUAUGUAUAUGUCGUCAUGAGUUCCGCUACUUUGACUGUUUGUCUAUCUUCGAAUGAGGUUUUUGAAGUGUUAAAGAGAUUACACAACGUUGAAAUCAUGGCGUUGUCUUUUUCUCGGUGGGUGAAGAAGAAAAGAGGUUUUCAGCACAAUGCAAAAUGCUACAAUUAUCUAAUCAAAUCAUUGGAGAAAAUCAAACGAUUCAAUAUAACAUGAUUAUUUUGGAGGCUACAAGCUAUAAAAUAAAAUAAUAAAUACAUAAUUGUUUAUUAUUAUUAAUUUAGAUAAAAGAAUUAUUUGAGUUAAACGAGGAGUAUGAAUAGAAUUACCCAUAUAAAAUUACCUUUGGUAUUUUGGUUAUAAAUGGCGAUACAAUCGAAGCCCACGUUCAUGCCUAAAUGAUAAUACUGCAUACGGUAAUCUAGUAUUAAUAUCAAUUUAUAACCAUAUGUACAAAAUUCCCUUAUGGAAUGGCACAGGCGUACGGAAAUGCCAUAUCAUGUAAGUUAUGUAACUGUAACACUUGACUUUGUUACCUAUCGAUCGACAUUAGGUUACAUUAAUUCUAGUAUUUUUUUAAGAAAAUUAAUUCCAUUGAUAGUUACUGCUAUUUAAGGUAAUAUUUAAUGCCAAAAUUGAUAGCAAUCACAAUGUUUUUUCCUUUUCUUUUUGUUGCAUUCUAUUUUGUUUGACUGAAAUGGGAACGCUAUUAAGAUAUGGCGUACGAAUUUGCAAAGGCGUGCAUGGUUUGGAUCCUUAAUUCACGGGACAGAAACAAAAUUGAAGUACUAAUUAAUACAAGAAAUGUUAUUAAAAUCAUUGGCUACUAAUUAUUAGGGUUGUAUACCUUGAGGCUCGAGCUGGUAAUACUUUUAUUCGGCUCGAGUUCGAGCUUUAAAUUGAGCUCGAGCCCAGUUCAACAAAUAAAAGCUCGAGUUUGGGUCAAAUUCAGUUCGAUAAUUAUUCAAUUAGAGCAAGCUCGAACUCAUCUCAACAAUUUUUCGUGAUUUGUUACUCAAGCUCGGCUCGUGAAUAGAAUAUAAAACCUGUUAUUCGAGCUCGAUGACAAUUAUUUUCAUCUAUUAUUAUAUUUUAAUUUUAUAUAUUAUCGUAUAUAAUACUAAAAAUAUAUAUGGAUAUUCUUAUCUUAUACUCCCUCCGUCCCGCCCAAGAUGCUACAUAUUCAUUUUUGAGUCGUCCCAACAAAGAUGCUACAUUUCUAUAUUUGGCAAAAAUAAGGAAUUUUAAACACUUAAUUAACACAAAUUAAGUAUUUUUUAUUACUUUCUCUCUCCUACUUUAUCACUUUAUUACCUUCUCUUUCUUACUUUAUCACUUUAUUACUUUAUCUCUUCUACUUUAUCACUUUAUUAUUGCACACUUAAAACAUUAAUUUACAACUCCUUAAAUCUCGUGCCGAAAAGCAAAUGUAACAUCUUGGCUGGGACGGAGGGAGUACUAUAUAAGUAACAAUAUAUAUGCAUCCUAUUUCAAAUAUUUCAAUAUAUAUGAAAAUAUAUAAUUAAAUCCAUUGUUGAUAAUUUAGUAUUGAUGAUAUUAAAGUAGUAAAAAAUACACUACUGAUAAUAUACAAAAUUAUUUACAUGAACAUAUCGCGAACAGGCUCGCGAACCUAUUCGUGAAUAAGGCUUGCGAACAUAUACAGGCUCGAGUUCGGCUCAAUAAUUUUAUCGAACUAAAUUUCAAACUUUAGUUCGGCUUGUUUGAGAGACGAACGGAUUUUGAAUGACUUUUUUUUCGAGUCGAGCUCCGAAUAGUUUGCGAGCGGCUUGAUUCAUUUAUAUUCUUACUAAUUAUCAAAUAAAAACAUCUCUUAAAAAAAAUUAUCAGAUUAUAAGGAAUGUUGUGUAAAUUCAUUUAUUUUGCAAGGAAAUGUUUCUUAAGAAAAAUAGUCAGAACGACUUUGACCAUCCUGAUGGAUUUGGGCUUAUUUCAGAAAUCCGGGGUAUUAGAGCAUUGGCAACGCCUUACACGAUAGCACCUACUCGUGUAAGGUGUUGCUCGUGUAAGGCGUUGCAAGGCAGCCUUACAUGAGGGCUACACGAUGGAUCGUGUAUGCCCGAUAGCGUUAUUUUUUGGCGAGUGUUUUACACGCGCCCUAUUUAAAAAAAUAUAUAUAUAUUGAAAUUCGAUUUUUGAAAUUUGAAGGCAGCUUUGACUGCCUCGGUUUGCGUGCCUUUUUUUGACCGUUUGAAUUUAUUUUUAAUUUAUGAAAUUUUAAUUAUGUUUUAAUUUUUUAAAAAUUUUAUUGGUUUUUAUUUUAAUGGAAUUUAAUUAUUAGUAAAAUGUGUUAUUUAAAUUUUCGAAAAGUGAAAAUCAUAAAAAUCAAAACUAAAAAAAUCAUGUAGACUAUCAUGUAAUCCCAAUGCAGCCUCCUUACACAAUGUGGUCCCUCUCAUCAAGUAAGCUAUCAUGUAAACUUUCAUGUAACCCCAAUUGGGAUGCUCUUAGGAAUUUCAAUUUGGUAAAGCCUUAUUUCUCUUAUGAGUUGGGGUGGAAUAAAAUUCUCAAUAUCUGAUGGCGACCAUCCCAUAUAACAUUAGUUAGAUCAUACUAAAUAUGUCGAUGUAUGUAACAAAAUUAAAGACAAUUCUAUUGCUAUAUUUCGUUGAAUUUAUAUCACUACAAAAAAAUCGUUGAUUACCGACGGCGAAAUGCCGUCGGUAACAAAAGACGGCCGCCGGUAAAUAGUGUUACCGGCGGCGUUACCGGCGGCAACUCGCCGUCGCUAAACGGUUCGUCGGCAACGCCAUUACCGACGGCGAUCGGCCGCCGCCGGCAAUUAACGGGUAGUAGUGUAUCGAGUAAUCAUUUACUAUUUCAUGCUAAAUUUUAGUAUUAUUCUUCAAGUAAAAAAAUUGUGCAUCCUCCAAUGCACGGUGCAUCCAUUCAAUUAAAAUCUAUUAAUCCUCAACAAGAUUCAAUAAUUUCUUAUUGGAGUAUUGAGUUAUGGAAACUGAAAUACUGAGAAUCGUGUUUCGUUAGUUUGUUAUGGAUUUUUACUAGAAUUGGAUUACAACUUUNUUUUUUUUGGUUAUAAAAUAGUACUCACUCCGUCUCGCGAAGCUUGUGCAGUAUUCAUUUUCGGGUUGUCCCGCGAAUCUUGAACAAUUUUCUUAUAUAGCAACUUUUUUUGUUUUAUUCACCUUUUCACUUUUUCACCUACCACACUUCACACACAAAAUACUAACCCCUUAAAACCUGUAUCGAAAAGAAAUUGUUCAAAUUUCACGGAAUGAAGGAAAUAGUCUUUUCUAUGUGAUUGUGUUGAAAUAUAUAACACAAAAGACUCUGGCUAGCACCACAAAUGUAUUUUCGUAAAGACGAAUUGAGUAAUCAAUUUUCAAGUAUUUUUCUUAUUUUUGUAAUUGCUUUGGUUGAUUUUCAGAACAUAAAACUUAUCCAUCACAAUUUGAAUUUAAUUAGUACUAAUAUACUGUACAUUUUACCUCAUUUUUCAAAUACUCCUUCUUAUUGUUAUUGAUUUUGUACAAGUUACUUUUGAUUACUUCAGGAGUCCACUCCUUCUUAUUCAUCAUUUUUCAAAUACUCCUUCAUAUUUGUCUCUUUUAACGUUAGAAACCAAACUAAAUAAUUUUCUUUUUAAAAAAAAACUAAAUAAUUUUAUUAAUUAAAUUUGUUCCUUGGACUAAAAAAAACUACUAGUGAUAAUAUGAUCCAACCAUGAGAUCAACCUACAAAUCAACGGUCCGGAUAAAUCCCCAUCACAUUUAACGUCUUUUACUUCUGCAAUAAAUGCAAAUUUAACUGAAAUAUAGAAACUCAGACAAAGAUUUUGCGCAGCACCAUUCAUUCUCUCUCAUCUUCUUCCUCAUUCCUCCUCCAGUGGAGUCCCACACCAAGUGCGGAAAUAUGCAUAACGCCCCUCCCCUACCACUAAUUCACUCCACCAUCAGCAGCUUGAAAUUUGAAGUGAUAGACGAUGACUUCUCCAUAGACAACUUCCCAUCAUCUCUGCAACUGCAAGAUUUUCACCACCUCGAUCAGUUGCCGCUGAUCAAAGCAUCUUCGUUCAAUACUGUUAUCGACACCGAUCCCUUUUUCCAUGGCUUCGAUUUUUACGAGGUCGACGGUAAACCUUAUGAUGAUGAUGAUAGAAACGGGAUGGGGUGUGCAGCCAUGCAGGGUUUCCAUGGCGGCGGAUUCUUGAAUUUCGACGACAGUGGGAAAGAUCUGUUGAUGGAGUUGGAUGCGGCCUCGAUCAAUGAGGAUCCUAAGCCAUUGAGAUUGUUGUUCUGAUGAGAGCUCGUGCGUUACAGCUGAUUUUCACAAAGAAAAUGGCGUUAAAAGAGACAAAUAUGGUGCUAAUGACACGGCAUCAGCGUCGGCUAAAACUCCCAAGGCUAAGUCAGGCAAGGGGCAGUGGACUCCUGAAGAAGACAGGUUGAUCAACAAUUGUUUUUUUUUUUUCUAAUAAUAUAUCUAUAUAUUUUUUGUGUGUGUUUUUGAGUUGAUAAAGUGUUGAUGGAUUCCCAGAUGUUGAUCCAUUUGGUGGAGAAAUAUGGAGAGAAAAAGUGGUCACGAAUCGCGCAAGUGGUGAAGGGGAGGAUCGGAAAGCAGUGCAGGGAGAGAUGGCAUAAUCAUCUCAGGCCUGACAUCAAAGUUGGAUUAAUUAACCUAAACGUACAUAUUUUGUUAUUCAUAGAUGAGAUAUAAAUUAAUAUUUCAAACUAAUUUGUUGCAGAAAGAUGUAUGGACAGAGGAAGAAGACAGGAUUCUGAUAGAGGCUCAUGCAGAAAUCGGCAAUAAAUGGGCAGAAAUGGCGAAAAGGCUGGCUGGGAGGACUGAGAAUUCCAUAAAGAAUCACUGGAACGCGACCAAGAGGAGGCAGCUCUCGCGGCGAAAAUGCAGGCCUACUUCUCUUCUGCAAAACUACAUCAAAAGCCUUAGCCUUGAGAAAGGGAGCAGAUCAUUAAGGAAUACUACUGCACCUGAUAUUGAGAUGGAUGAUUUCAGUUUCAUGGAUGAUUUUGGCAGCGCCCCUCCGCCGUGUUUUGAGAUGGACUUGCAUGGACUGAAGGAGGACUUUGAUUUUGCCAUGGGCUAAAGAGAAGAAAAUAAAUUUGGUUUAACUUUCAACAAUUUAAAGUCCCAUUAUUUAAGACUUUAUAUAAAAUUAUGUCAAAUAUAAAUAACUUUCAACGAAAAAGGAAAUUGUAUAAGAUGUUGAAUAAGUACCCCAUAUCCUUGGAUUUGCACAGUUUUCAGUACACAUGAUGUUGAAUAACGACUGUAAGAUGCUUCAACAAAAAAGAAAAAAUCACAAUUAACAUUAAAAAAUAAUAAAAGUUCAUCAUCAUUAAAGAUAUCAAAAAUAAAAAUCCAUUUUUGGAGCUGGUUACUUGUAUCUCGAUUGCAAAUAUAUCCAAUCUCAAAAUAUAGUACUCCACAUAAAACAAUGUAGGAUUAUUAGCCGCGUAAAUAAACAAACUUUCAACAUUUUCUGCUAAAUUUAUCCUUUGAACUUAAUGUUCUUUUGAUUUUUUUCAUAAAAUUUAUUUUUCUCAUAUUUUUUGACGAGUUUAUGCUGCAAUUAGUUAUGAAUAACAUGUUUUUUUUUUUUUUUUAAUUUUAUUGGGUUAAGGUACAAAUGCCCCCCUAAACAAGACACCCCUAGAGCGUAUCCCUCCCCAUUCUCGAUGUUGGCCCAAAUAAACCCCCAAAGUCUAUAAAAAGGGUACACUUAAACCCAGCAAGUUAACGGCCGUCUAAUGCCGUUAACUUAAAUUUUUAAUUUUUUUAUUAUUUUCUCAUGGAGCCCACCUUUUAAGCAGCAGUCGCCGCCUUCUUUCGAUUCCCGCCGCCGCCACGUUCGGUGUCACGCCAGAGAAUAAUUGUGACGUUUCCAGACAUCACGCUUCCUCGCCGGUCGUUUCCCGUUCGCGGACACUCCGUCUCCCAAUGUCGGUGCGGUGGGACGAGACAAAUGACACUCCGGCAUCCAAGCCCACCACCAGAAACACGCGAAUCAUCUGUCCUCCCACGCCGGACUCCACGAAGAAGGUUCAACACAACCCAGCAAGAAGAACAACCAAUUUCAAAAUCAGAUUUCCAAUUUCAUCCUCUGCCCGCCAGGACCAGCUUCCCGAGCUCCUGCAUCUUCACCGUGAUCUUCCGCCUGCUCUGCCUGGCCGCGAUGCUCUGAACAGAUAAGCUGCCGCUGCCGCCGCCGCUCGCUUCUUUCUUGGCGCUCUCACAGCUCCCUGUGCUGAAAUCCACUGCAGGGAAGUCCACUGGCAUAAGUGAGGUCGUCGCAGAGAAGAGAAGGGAAGGGCGGCGUGGGGAGCGGUGGAGGUUUUUGCGGAGAGGGUGAAGGGGUAUACCCCCCAUUCUCGACCUUGGCCCAAAUACAACCCAGAGUCAAUAAAAAACUAUCAAGAAUGAGGAGGGAUACGCUCUAGGGGUGUCUUGUUUAGGGGGGCAUUUGUACCUUAUCCCAAUUUUAUUUUAUUUUAUUGUGUCAAGAAAUUGAAAAACUUUAAUACUCCUUCAUUUGUCCCAUUAGUAAUGCCCCGCUACUUUGAUCAUGAAGAUUAAGAAGAGUGUAGUUAGUGUAUAAAUUAAGUUGGUGGAAUAUAUUUAAGAAUUAUUUUAAGUGUGUUGGUGUAUAAAGUGAUUUUGGGCCCACUGUUAGUUUAAAUAAUUACUAAUUUUUUACUAAAAAAGGUAUUAUACAUUAUUAAAAGGACGUCUCAAUAUAGUAAUUGAGACAUUACUAAUGAGACGAAAGGAGUACUAUGAUCUUUGGAUCUAAAAAUUCUAUCAUAUCAUAUUUUCUCAACGAAGUUGCGCUGCAAUUAAUUAUGGUUAAAAUAUUAAUUUUAAUUUUUUAUUGUAUCGAGAAUUGGAAAACUUUAAUUUAAUAUGGUUUUUGGAUCCAAAAAUCUCAUCAUUGAGAGAGAAAUAUGACAUAGGAAAGCUCAUAAUUAAGAACAUGAAAUUUGCGAGAAAAAUUUAAAAAAUACUGAAAGUUCAUGUAUUUACACACAAAUAAUUAGGAAAAAAAAUUAAUUAAGAUCGCCGGUUAGUCAUUCCACGUUGGCAGCUCUAACUGAUACGUCAACAUCAAUUUGAAAAAAAAUAAAUUUCAAGAGAAAAAUUAGACGAACAUUAAAUUAAAAAAAUCAUGAAAAAACUCAAAAAAUGUUGAAAGUUCAUAUACUUUCACGCAAAUAUAACCCAGAAAUGUAACACAUGCAAGACAACUUUGCAUAACUACAUAAACAAACUAUCAAAUCAUUUGUACAUAGCCUUAAGUCUAUAUAUACAACUCAAUUUUAUACUAAGAGUGUGUUUGCUUUUUAUCCCUCUAAAUGGAUGGAUAACAAAAAUUUAUGCCUUUAAAUGUUUGCUUUCUUAUCCCACAUUUUACACAACAUUAUUUUUCCUUCCUUAUUUUCACUUCAAGGAGGGAUAAUAUUAUCCCUCCAAUUUUGGUGUGAUAAUAUUAUCCCUCCUUGAAGUGAAAAAUAAGAAAAGAAAAAUUGUGUUUAUGUAAAAAUAUGGGAUAAAGAAAGCAAACAUUUAAAGGNAUCUAUAAAUAGGGCUCUUAUGCAUAGAAAUAGAAGGGAGACUCUUACUCUUCACUUGUACUUAUAACUCUUUUCCAAUAAUAAAAACUCUAUCAUUUUACCAUUUUACUAUCUAAUUUUAUUAUGGAAUUAUUCACAAACUCAUCAAUAAUAUUAUACUUUUUUCAUUAUUUUCAAUACACUCAAUAAUAUCGUUUAACUCCUAAAAAAUUAUUUAGGGAUGGAUGAAGUAUAUGUUGACAUUGACUCGAUUUUAAUUAGUAUAGUAAUUGAUUGAUAAAUGCAUCUACAGUGCAACAAAAAAACAUAUAGGUGUUUGUUUUUUAUCCCUCUAAAUGGAGGGAUAACAAAAAUUUAUGCCUUUAAAUGUUUGUUUUCUUAUCCUACAUUUUACACAAACACCAUUUUUCCUUCCUUAUUUUCACUUCAAGGAGGGAUAAUAUUAUCCCUCCAAUUUUGGUGUGAUAAUAUUAUCCCUCCUUGAAGUGAAAAUAAGGAAGGGAAAAUGAUGUUUGUGUAAAAUGUGGGAUAAGAAAACAAAUAUUUAAAGGCUUAAAUUUUUGUUAUCCCUCCAUUUAGAGGAAUAAAAAGCAAACACACCCUAAAUUUAUAAAGUUACCGCACUAAUCAAGAUUCCUAUAUAUAGUCCUGCUAAGUGGUAAAUGACUUUGUCCCGAUCUCGCUUGACCUAGUUGGUAGAGUGACGAUACAUUAUGGUCGAAAUAGUUUAUCAACUAUCACACUACACUAAUAUCAUCUCCAAAUGUGGACAGAGCAAAGGGGGCAAUAGCUACAUUGAAGGUCCGAGUUCCAACUUUAUCUAUGUGCUUCAUCUCAUAGUCACCUUCCUGCAAAUAAUGCAGCAAAUAUAUAUCUAAACAUCACACAAUGGGAAAAUAAGACAUUCUAUCUUCACAUUCCCAUAUUUUUGGAUCAUAACACAUUUAUGAUAAAACGCGUCUCACCAUUCUGCCAGUCGACGUGCUCAAUGGACAAGCGGAUGAAUACUCGAAUCCAGUAUUAGGAAGUAUAACCGGUUGUUCACCUAUAACUCCAGUGCCCCUGAUAAAGAAGCACGAGGUUUAGUCACUAGAGAAAGUGAAGCAUAAUACCUCAAAAAGGGAUACAGAAUUGAGUCAGUCGAAGUAGUGAGGAACAAAAGAUGGGAAACUGGAAGCUUAACUGGACUGUCUCAGUUCUUCCAUUGGCAUCAGUUAUGAUCCAAUGGCGUCUAAGAAGUUGCACGGGGCGAUCAGAUAGGUUGGUGAUUCUGAUCCUAUAUGCAUAAAAGUAGAGGCCUUUUGAUGGCUGACUUCUACCUGCAAUGUACACACUCCUUACUUGGACUCUAAUUCCCUGCAGAUUAUGCAGAAAUUAGCACACGACAGAAACAUUGUAUUUAUCAUUAGACUAGUUUAAGGUUAUGCACGUUAUCAAAUUCAAGAAUCAAAGCAUUUCAGGUUCACAGAAUCAUAUCAAAUUCAUCAAUUCUUGAAACUUGAUAAUGAAAUAAUGUAACUAGCCAGGUUGUAUAACGUGCUUGUCCUACCAAGGUUGUAGCAUCACUCGAGCACUUCAAAAGAGUAUAGGGAGCAAUUUCCUUUAACUCAUCGCGGUAGGCAGCUGCAUCCUGGAGUUGCAUACAUACGUAUAACAAAUAUGAUUACUUACACUGAAAAGUCACUACAGGGGGUACCAUGUAUGACUAGGAAAGUUUGCAAAAAUAUGUUCUUUUUCCACAGUUACAGAUACCAUUCAGAUUAAAUUAACUCAUAGUUAUUUUGAUUAUUUAAAGAUUUUACAUGAACUAGGUUCAAUGUUUUAUUGGAUUACCAUGAAUUUCAAAUGAACUUAGUAUCUAAUGCUUUGUGUAUCCAAUCUAACAAAUCAUCCUUGACAAACUUAUUAAAAUUGUAAGAUUCAUCAUGGCGUUGAUAAAAAUUGAAUGGAAAAUCAAACAAGGGUGGAUAAGGCAUAUAUAGAUACCUCAAAUCUUUCCUGUGAAAUGGCCUCUUUCAACAAUCUUUGAAGUCGCAAAGCUGGCUCCUCUUCCUCAAAAAGUUUCAGUGAAUCGCGAAGCCUAGCCGCUUCCUUGUAAUCCUAAUGUAAUCAUCAAUUCGAAAAGAGAAAAAAAAAAGAUCAACUUCAAAUCAAUUUGCAUAUGAAAGUUCUCUGCAUAAACUCACAAAAUCAAAGAAAAAGCCCAACAUAAUAAUCUCCAUGAAUUCGUUUCCACAACAUUAGUUCAAAUUGUAUAUAUACAUGAACUUAUUUGCUUACAGCUAAAUUUAACUGAACAUACACAAUAUCGAACUGAUAUUUAGACAUUGCCAAAGUUCAAACAAUCCAAGAAAAGCAAUCACCAACUAAUACACAAAAUCAGAACUAACGAAUUCAACAUAUAAAAACAAAUGAACACUUGCAAUAAUUUGAACAGAUAUUUUUUAAGAAAAAACACCUCUGAUUUUGCAGCAACUUCCAACUGCUGCUUCAAUAGAGCAUACGUCUCCGUCCGCGACAGAUUCGAACUAUGGCUCGGAUCUUGAACCGGACCCGAGCCCGAACCCGGAUUGCUGCAAGCGACUAUCCGAUUAACCCGCCAAUUGUAGGCUUUUGCGCUGCUUCUGAGCCGACCCGCCAACAACAGCGCGUUGAAAUCACUCACAACCUUCAGAUUCAAGCAAUGCAUUUUGGUAUAGACCACUCGUUUAUUUUUUUUGGAAAAUCGAACUGUAGUUGAGGAGUUGAUGUGAUUAUACUUUCAUCAGUGGAGGAUAAUUUGGAACGCGUAAUUACCAUAAUGGGCAUGGAGGCGGGUGGAGAUUGGUGGCAAUAUAGUGAAUUCCGAUGGAGCGUGGAUUUUUCGAAUUUUCAGUGGUUUGGAGCCGUUUGAGAAAAGAGGAGAUUUUUGCGCUUCAAUGGAAGGAGAUUACGUUGACACGUGUUCAAUUCGGUUAUUUUCAGUUAAAUCCAGUGUUAUACGUUGAAAUCGCUGUUUCAACACACAACUUAUAAUGUCUAAAGUUUUCUUUUUCGAGAAUUUAUAAUGUCUAAUGUCAAAUGAAUGUGAUAAAAAAAAAAUACUAACGAAAAUAAUAUGAGAUGCAUAACUUGUUUGCUACCAUGCGAUUGUAUAUAUAAAACAAUUUUAGUGCUUCAUUUGUCUACUAAAUUAAAAAAAAAAUGAUUCAAUCAUGUGAUUGCGUACUAAAACAAUUUUUUAUAAUUUUUUGUUAUUAUUUUAAUUUAUUUUUAACAUAAAGUUGAAAACAAAUACUAAUAUACUCAAUAUUAAUAAUAGAAUAAUUAUAUAUAAGUACUCCCUCUGUCAUUUAAAAAUAGUUCAGGAAGUGGCCUGCAUUUAAAUAAAAAUAAUUAAGUAUGUUAUGAGUGGAGAAAUGAUAUCACCAUAAAGGUAGCGUUAAUAAUAAUAAAUUAAUUGUAUUGUGAGUGAAGAGAGGGUUAUAAUAUACGUAAAUAAGUUAAUAUAUGAAGGGCUAUUGUGGAGUAGUAUCCAUAAAUAGAAUAAGACUAUUUUUUGUGAACACCCGAAACAUGAAAAUUAGGACUAUUUUUUCAGGACGGAUGAAAGAUAAUUUGUGGUUUAGUGGUCAUUGAUAAAUCAUCAAAAGUUUGUGAAAUUGAGUUAGAUAGAAUAUUGGUGAUAUGGAAGUGAGAAAAAUUAAUUAAAUAUUAAAAAAAAUUGAUGGUUGAAUAAUUGGAUCAAUCACUACUAUAGAUAUUUUUAGUAUAAUAUAGUAUACUAGAGUAUAUUUAGGUCUUCAUCUUUUUAAAAUUUUGGAAUUUUAAUAUAAAUACUAAUUUUUUAUAUAUAUAUAUAUAUUAUUUCGAAAUGGCUCUUCACAUUUUUAUCUUACGAAAGAAAUUAAAGCAUUUGUUUAUAUACUGUAGUUGUUGAUAUAUGACUAUAAAAACUUGAAUUGUAAUAUAUAGGUAUAAUUAAUAUCCCUUCGUCCAUGAAAAUAUGUCAUAACUCUUUUUCGUCAUUUAUGAACCGCCAUUUUUUAUUUUGUGGAGCUUUUCUCUCACUAACUCUCUCUACUUUUUCUAAUUUGUAAAGCCUUUUUUCUAUUUAUUAAAUAAAUAAUUAUUUUUUCUUAAAUUCGUAUCGUCUUCCCUUAUAACCUAUAUUCAUAGAUGGAGGGAGUAAUUUAUUAAAAGUACGACAUGAUAAAAUACAAUUUCAAAAUAUUAAAUAAAAUUAUAUUUUAAUUGGGAAGUGUCAUGUUUCUUCUACAACCAUUAAAUUUGGAAUUCAAAUCACAACGAAAGUAAAUGAGGCAUCAUUAUUGAUUUUUUUUUUUUAAUAAUUAUACUCCCUUCGUCGCGUGAAACUUUAUCCGUAUUCUUUUCUGGUUGUCCCAUGUAACUUGACUACUUUUAUUAUAUGACAAAAGUUUCUCCUUUAUUUACUAUUCCACUUUUUCACCUACCACUAUCCUAAAUAAAAAUAAAAAUCACAUAUCACACUUAACACACAAAAUAUUACUUCUCUAAAACUCGUUUAAAAAAGAAAGUGAUCAAGUUUCGCGGGACGGAGGGAGUACUUAUUUCAUCUACGAAAAUUAUAAUUUUAUUACUAUAUCUUUUUUUAGGGAAAACGAGUGACGAUUUACUGAUCACGGGAACAUGGAAUGUGGAAAUGACGAUCACGUCGACAUGUCUUAGACAGAAUCCCGGAAGCGUUGAAAGCUCUUCACGGCAGAAACUAGCAAGAAUACCAAAUUCAGAAAUAUUAUUACCUCUCGAAGCAAUCACAUCACAAGCACGUUUACUAUCUAAUUCCACAACACCUCUCACAUAACCCAGCCACUUGAUCCAAGAAAGCACCUCUUUGAUUCCCAAAAGCUCAUGACCACCCUCCUCAACACUACAUAUGCCCGGAACCUUCAUAGAAACCCUAGUAAGAAAGUUUCCCCCAUGGUCACGAAUAAUCAGCCCAAUACCCAUGGCAUUCUCAUUAUCGAAAAAGUGCAUCAACACCACAAUGGAUAUCUCCCUCCGGCAUACCAUACCAACCUAGACACACCGGCGACGGGGGAGGGGCAACUUCCUAUCUAACACGAUAAGCUCUAUCCAGAACCCACUCUUUACGACAGCCAACAAUUAACAGCUUCCACGAAACGGGCUGGAUUCGGGUAAAUCUCCUUCCAAACCAUGGUGUUAUGGUCCUUCCAAAUCUACCAAAGAACCAUAGCAAUAAGAGAUUUAUGUUCACCACUCGCCUCCUCUAAGAUACAAAAGAGAGCAUGCAUGAAAGAGUCACUUCUAGAGGUAAUGGAGUCGAUGACCGAGGAGAGAUUACAAGCAUUCCAACAUGCCUCAGCAAACGGACAGAAGAAGAACCUGUGCCAAAGGUUCUCAAAACCUCUACAACAAGUCGCACACUCUCCCCCAACAGCUAAGCCACGAGAUAAACGAUUCUUUUUUUACGGCAAAUUAUUACGGGCCGCACGGAAAAGAAAAUGACGUACCUUGGGAGAAACAUCAACCUUCCAUGUACAGAUUAUGCCAAUGACCAUUAGUACGAUAAGUUUCAUCAAGAGUGAGGGAACUAGCCAACUUGUAGGCUGACUUGACAGAAUAGCAACCAUUAUCAGAGAAAUUUCAUAUUAACUUGUCCGACUGCGAACGAGGGAGCAAAGGAAUACUGAUGAUAUCACAUAAUUCUUCACCACUCACAAUCCCAUUCAGCAGCUCCAUAUUCCAAGUUCGUGUUCUAGAAUUCAAAAGCUCACACUACAAAAAACCAAUUUUUUACCGAGGGAUUUCCUUCACUUGGUAAUUAUCGAGUAUUUAGCGAAAGUGUUUUGAGGAUUAAUGUAUUUUCAAAUAUACCGACAGUUUACCGAGAGAAUACCGAGUGAAAGUUUUAUUGAGAGAAAAAUUUCCUCGGUAAAAGUUAAUUUUAAUUUUAUUAUGAUGAAAUUUAAUUAUAAAUUAGUAGCUUUAAUUUUACCGAUGGAUUUAUUCUCUCUGUAAAUUGUUUCCAAAUUACUAAACACUGAAUCCCUCAAUAAAAUUAAAACUACCGUUGCUUUUGUUCCUCAUAAUUCUCACCUUUUUUUUCUUUCGCCACUGUCGUCCACCACCCCCACCUCCAGUAAGCGCUUCUCUCUCUCUCUCUCUUCAUUUGGCUGUGUACACCAUCUCCAAUUUUUAGUUGCAAAUCUCUUUGAGAAAUCCUGCGAAUUGCGCUGCUCUUUGUCACUAUAAAACUGCCCUCUUUCUCACACCAAUAUAGUUUGGCUUUACUCAUGUUCACAUUUCAUAGCUCAUAUUGGUUUCCUGUUGCAUUAAUUACCGUAAUUUUAAUUUAAUCCUUAAGUUUUGUGUCCUGUUAAUUGCAGGUCUAUGCUUACUCUCUAUGUUUUGAAGACUCUAAUUGCCAAUGCCAAGGAAAAGGAAAAUUGUAAUUUAGGGUUUCGCUCGGUUUGUGUUUUCAAUUUUCAGUCUCUUACAGUUAAAUUUCGUUUGAUUUUUUGUGAUUCGGAGUUUUUGAAGAAUAUUUUGGAUUUCUCAGAUGUUCUACACCACAAGAACUUUCAGUUACAUAGGGUAAUCUAUGGCAUCUUUAGGAACUUCCUAUAUUCUUUUAGCUUAAUUUACUUCGGAUAUUGUUGACUGGGAAAUUGAGCCUAUCAUAUAGCACCUUCUCUGGUGCAGUUGUCGUCUCUCCAUUAUGGUAUCCAGUUUGUUGCAUGAGAUUGAGGCUUCUUUGGUGCAUACCUUUAAGUAGUUGUUGCUUAUUCCAUUGCAACUAUAUAUAAAUAUGCAGACAAUCUUUUAAACUAGUUGCUCUGUAGAUCGUUUUAAUUUUGUCUCCAUCUUGGAUGAUGGAUCAUUUAAAUCUACUUGCUCUUGUUAGGCGUGUGAUACAGAUGAUACAUAUCUAUUAAUCAAUUAUAUUUUUGGUGCUCUGCAUUUUAUAUACUCUUGCAGCUACAAUUUGGAGAACAGGGUGCCCAGGUCUGAUAAUCGAUCUUCACUUUUGACAAAAUUAGUCCAUUUCUAGGUGAAAAUGUAGACCCGUCGGAUUUAUCAACCUGAGUUUGAUAAUGCCGUUGUCUAUCUCCACCUGAUUUGAUUCGAAAAUGUAGACCUAGAAAUGGAAUAAUUUUGUAUGAAAUAUAUAUUUAUCCAAGAAGUUUACAUUGUCAGGCGAAACAUGCAGUUGGAGUGGAGAAGAUGAGGUUUCAUUGCUUUGAAUAAGCUUAACCCUAUAUAGAACCUUUACAUAUCUACUUAUUUUUACUCAAAAAUCUUAUUUAUCUUCUGUUUUGAUCAUAAAUUUAUCUUUGAUUUAGCUUGUGGAUUAAUCACACUUAUGUCAAUAUUUGUUGUUUUGGAUUUGUAAUGCUUGUGUGUCACGAGACAUAAUAUACAAAAUAAUCAUCUGCUUUUAUAAUAUAUUGUAAUUUCUUUUUCCAAGAUUUUUCAAUCCACUUUCUAUGCUUUAAGUAAUUCAUAUCUUAGGCUUUUUAUGCUUUAAGCAAUUCAUUUCUCACAUAUCUUAGGCUUUUAGUAAUUAAAAUUACUUAACCUUCUAUAGUGC
Molecule: long non-coding RNA, 27783 nt
Filed under: Salvia miltiorrhiza (redroot sage)
Lineage: Eukaryota; Viridiplantae; Streptophyta; Magnoliopsida; Lamiales; Lamiaceae
Description: long non-coding RNA (SMIL_LNC007289)
Source: RNAcentral